CCGCCCUUAGCUCAAUGGUAGAGCACCGAGCUUAUACCUCGGCGGUUCUUGGUUCGAGUCCAAGAGGGCGGA
RNAcentral lists this transfer RNA (72 nucleotides) under bacterium. Its description in RNAcentral is "tRNA-Ile". It matches the Rfam family "tRNA". Rfam says of the family: Transfer RNA (tRNA) molecules are approximately 80 nucleotides in length. Their secondary structure includes four short double-helical elements and three loops (D, anti-codon, and T loops). RNAcentral also lists the same sequence under 1 other name. The record is from RNAcentral.